GGCACCUGCGGCAGCUAUACAUGCAAGUCGUACGGCAGCACGGGUAGCAAUACCUGGUGGCGAGUGGCGCACGGGUGCGUAACGCGUAUGCAACCUACCCUUAACAGAGACAUAACCUGGCGAAAGCUGGGCUAAUAUCUCAUGAGGUUAUAGAGGGGCAUCCCUAAAUAAUCAAAGCAGCGAUGUGGUUAAGGAUGGGCAUGCGUCUCAUUAGCUAGUUGGUGAGGUAACGGCUCACCAAGGCGACGAUGGGUAGGGGUUCUGAGAGGAAGGUCCCCCACACUGGUACUGAGACACGGACCAGACUCCUACGGGAGGCAGCAGUAAGGAAUAUUGGGCAAUGGUCGGAAGACUGACCCAGCCAUGCCGCGUGCAGGAAGAAGGCCCUAUGGGUUGUAAACUGCUUUAGCCAGGGGCUAAACCUACCGAUGCGUUGGUAGCUGAAGGUACCUGGAGAAUAAGCAUCGGCUAACUCCGUGCCAGCAGCCGCGGUAAUACGGAGGAUGCGAGCGUUAUCCGGAUUUACUGGGUUUAAAGGGUGCGCAGGCGGUUGUUUAAGUCAGGGGUGAAAGCCCUAUGCUCAACAUAGGGAUUGCCUUUGAUACUGAACGGCUAGAGUGAAGAUGGAGUGGGUGGAAUGUGUUGUGUAGCGGUGAAAUGCAUAGAUAUAACACAGAACACCGAUCGCGAAGGCAGCUCACUAAUUUUCAACUGACGCUCAUGCACGAAAGCGUGGGGAUCAAACAGGAUUAGAUACCCUGGUAGUCCACGCUGUAAACGAUGAUCACUAGCUGUUGGUACGCAGAAGUAUCAGUGGCUAAGCGAAAGUGAUAAGUGAUCCACCUGGGGAGUACGACCGCAAGGUUGAAACUCAAAGGAAUUGACGGGGGCCCGCACAAGCGGAGGAGCAUGUGUUUAAUUCGAUGAUACGCGAGGACCUUACCAGGGCUCGACGCAGGGAGAUAUACCUGAAGGGUAUAGCAGCGAUGUCGUCUGCAGGUGCUGCAUGGUUGUCGUCAGCUCG
This 1024-nucleotide ribosomal RNA is filed under the name uncultured bacterium. RNAcentral's name for it is "bacterial SSU rRNA". It matches the Rfam family "Bacterial small subunit ribosomal RNA", at positions 32 to 1062 of the family's 1533-position model. The record is from RNAcentral.